This 385-nucleotide ribosomal RNA is filed under the name uncultured Streptococcus sp. RNAcentral's name for it is "bacterial SSU rRNA". It matches the Rfam family "Bacterial small subunit ribosomal RNA", at positions 994 to 1382 of the family's 1533-position model. Lineage: Bacteria; Bacillati; Bacillota; Bacilli; Lactobacillales; Streptococcaceae. The record is from RNAcentral.
CUUAUUUCUAGAGAUAGAAGUUACUUCGGUACAUCGGUGACAGGUGGUGCAUGGUUGUCGUCAGCUCGUGUCGUGAGAUGUUGGGUUAAGUCCCGCAACGAGCGCAACCCCUAUUGUUAGUUGCCAUCAUUCAGUUGGGCACUCUAGCGAGACUGCCGGUAAUAAACCGGAGGAAGUGGGGAUGACGUCAAAUCAUCAUGCCCCUUAUGACCUGGGCUACACACGUGCUACAAUGGUUGGUACAACGAGUUGCGAGCCGGUGACGGCGAGCUAAUCUCUUAAAGCCAAUCUCAGUUCGGAUUGUAGGCUGCAACUCGCCUACAUGAAGUCGGAAUCGCUAGUAAUCGCGGAUCAGCACGCCGCGGUGAAUACGUUCCCGGGCCUU